RNAcentral lists this ribosomal RNA (253 nucleotides) under uncultured bacterium. RNAcentral describes it as "partial 16S ribosomal RNA". It matches the Rfam family "Bacterial small subunit ribosomal RNA", at positions 524 to 776 of the family's 1533-position model. The record is from RNAcentral.
UACGAAGGGGGCUAGCGUUGCUCGGAAUCACUGGGCGUAAAGCGCACGUAGGCGGAUUGCUAAGUCAGGGGUGAAAUCCUGGAGCUCAACUCCAGAACUGCCUUUGAUACUGGCGAUCUUGAGUCCGGGAGAGGUGAGUGGAACUGCGAGUGUAGAGGUGAAAUUCGUAGAUAUUCGCGAGAACACCAGUGGCGAAGGCGGCUCACUGGCCCGGUACUGACGCUGAGGUGCGAAAGCGUGGGGAGCAAACAGG